Molecule: ribosomal RNA, 253 nt
Filed under: uncultured bacterium
Lineage: Bacteria
Description: partial 16S ribosomal RNA
Rfam family: Bacterial small subunit ribosomal RNA
Source: RNAcentral
UACGGGGGGGGCAAGCGUUGUUCGGAAUUACUGGGCGUAAAGGGCUCGUAGGUGGCCAACUAAGUCAGACGUGAAAUCCCUCGGCUUAACCGGGGAACUGCGUCUGAUACUGGAUGGCUUGAGUUCGGGAGAGGGAUGCGGAAUUCCAGGUGUAGCGGUGAAAUGCGUAGAUAUCUGGAGGAACACCGGUGGCGAAGGCAGCAUCCUGGACCGACACUGACGCUGAGGAGCGAAAGCCAGGGGAGCAAACGGG